UACGUAGGGUGCAAGCGUUGUCCGGAAUUACUGGGCGUAAAGGGCUCGUAGGCGGCUCGUUAAGUCAGACGUGAAAGCCCUCGGCUUAACCGGGGAACGGCGUCUGAGACUGGCAAGCUUGAAUCCGGGAGAGGGAUGCGGAAUUCCAGGUGUAGCGGUGAAAUGCGUAGAUAUCUGGAGGAACACCGGUGGCGAAGGCGGCAUCCUGGACCGGUAUUGACGCUGAGGAGCGAAAGCCAGGGGAGCAAACGGG
This 253-nucleotide ribosomal RNA is filed under the name uncultured bacterium. RNAcentral describes it as "partial 16S ribosomal RNA". It matches the Rfam family "Bacterial small subunit ribosomal RNA", at positions 524 to 776 of the family's 1533-position model. The record is from RNAcentral.